UGGGGAAUUUUGGACAAUGGGCGCAAGCCUGAUCCAGCCAUGCCGCGUGCGGGAAGAAGGCCUUCGGGUUGUAAACCGCUUUUGUCAGGGAAGAAAUCUUCUGAGUUAAUACCUCGGGAGGAUGACGGUACCUGAAGAAUAAGCACCGGCUAACUACGUGCCAGCAGCCGCGGUAAUACGUAGGGUGCAAGCGUUAAUCGGAAUUACUGGGCGUAAAGCGUGCGCAGGCGGUUUUGUAAGACAGAGGUGAAAUCCCCGGGCUCAACCUGGGAACUGCCUUUGUGACUGCAAGGCUUGAGUGCGGCAGAGGGGGAUGGAAUUCCGCGUGUAGCAGUGAAAUGCGUAGAUAUGCGGAGGAACACCGAUGGCGAAGGCAAUCCCCUGGGCCUGCACUGACGCUCAUGCACGAAAGCGUGGGGAGCAAACAGGAUUAGAUACCCUGGUAGUCCACGCCCUAAAACGAUGUCAACUGGUUGUUGGGAAGGUUCCUUCUCAGUAACGUAGCUAACGCGUGAAGUUGACCGCCUGGGGAGUACGGCCGCAAGGUUGAAACUUAAAUGAAUUGACGGGGUCAUAGCUGUUUCCUG
This 587-nucleotide ribosomal RNA is filed under the name uncultured bacterium. RNAcentral describes it as "partial 16S ribosomal RNA". It matches the Rfam family "Bacterial small subunit ribosomal RNA", at positions 355 to 1376 of the family's 1533-position model. The record is from RNAcentral.